Molecule: long non-coding RNA, 1279 nt
Organism: Glycine soja
Lineage: Eukaryota; Viridiplantae; Streptophyta; Magnoliopsida; Fabales; Fabaceae
Exons: 2
Source: RefSeq, a predicted model, not a curated record
GGAACACUUGAAAGUUGAAAUACAAGAGAAACCCAAGUGAGCGGGAGAUAUCGAUCGCGCGCAGCACACAAGCUUGCGAUAGUUGAUUUGAGAUAAAUGGUGCCUUCGGUAAGCAAACGCUUUUUGCCUCAAAACCGUGUUUGACACGAAUGUUUGUGGCGAUUGCAAUUGUUUGCGACAUUCUCAUUCUUGAUUAAUUCAAGAACGUUAUGAACAGCGGAUGGAAACUACGGUGACCCUCGGUGAAUUCUUUAUUUCGUAAUUUUGAAGUGGGAUGGUCCCUUGUAGCCUCGAUGACCCAAAAUUGAACUCGAUAUUGAAUUCAAGAUGAAUUCUUUAUUUCGUAUUUUUGAAUUGGGAUGGUCCCUUGAAGCCUCGAUGACCCAAAAUUGAACUCGAUAUUGAAUUCAAGAUGAAUUCUUUAUUGCGUAAUCUUAAGUUCGUUAUGGAUUCAGACCGAUCCUCGGUGACCCUAGCCUGAUGGCAACUAUAAUAUGAUUUUUUUUUUAUUCAUAAUUUUAAAGCGGGAAUGACCCUCGAUGACAACUUAAUGGCAAUAAUUUUAAAGCAGGAUGAAGCCUUGAUGACCCUGAAUUCAAUUGCAGUUUUAUAAUCCUGAUGGGAUGUUCGGCCCUUUAUGAUCCUAAAUGCGGUUUUUGAUUCAUUGUGUUGAAUGAGGAUGGUUGGCUCAAGCCUUGAUUAUGCCGAAAUAUAUUACAAUGUGAAUGGAAACAUGAAUCUACGCAUGUGCCUUGAAGGUCUGUCAUAUUUUUAAACUGGGACGAAAUGCAUUGUGCCUUAGUGAUUCUAAAUGCAACCUGUGCUUGAGUCUUUAACGAUGACAAAUACAAUUGUACAACGAAUCUGAGUGUAGUUCUUUUGAUGGCCCUAAUGCAAGUACAAUUUGAAUGCACACAUGAAUCUAAGGAUGUGCCUUGAUGGCCCUAAUGAUUAUAGUUGCCCACUAUGUGGACUGGUGGACGAAUCAGCCCAGCAUCUUUUUCUUUACUUGCUGGGUUUCUGAUAAGCAUUGGAAACUAUGUUACAGAUGGCUUGGAGUCCAAGUUGUGAUGCACCAUGAUGUGGAACAGAAUUUUUGGCAACACUCCAUUUGCCUCUUAGGGAAGAGAAAGGUCUGGCUUGGCAAAUUACUUGGGUUCCUAUUGUUUGGUGCUUAUGGAACUUGUGAAAUGAAAUUAUCUUCAGGGUUGCAAUUCUGGAUGUGGAGGAUCUUUUGUACACCAUUAAACUAAAGUUGUGGACUUGGUUGCAUACAAAA